Molecule: ribosomal RNA, 253 nt
Filed under: uncultured bacterium
Lineage: Bacteria
Description: partial 16S ribosomal RNA
Rfam family: Bacterial small subunit ribosomal RNA
Source: RNAcentral
UACGGGGGGGGCAAGCGUUGUUCGGAAUUACUGGGCGUAAAGGGCGCGUAGGCGGCCUUCUAAGUCAGACGUGAAAUCCCUCGGCUCAACCGAGGAACUGCGUCUGAUACUGGAAGGCUUGAAUCCGGGAGAGGGAUGUGGAAUUCCAGGUGUAGCGGUGAAAUGCGUAGAUAUCUGGAGGAACACCGGUGGCGAAGGCGGCAUCCUGGACCGGUAUUGACGCUGAGGCGCGAAAGCUAGGGGAGCAAAUGGG